CCUACGGGAGGCAGCAGUAGGGAAUCUUUCACAAUGGGCGAAAGCCUGAUGGAGCAACGCCGCGUGCAGGAUGAAGGCCUUCGGGUUGUAAACUGCUUUUAUAAGCGAGAAAUAUGAUGGUAACUUAUGAAUAAGGAUCGGCUAACAACGUGCCAGCAGCCGCGGUCAUACGUAGGAUGCGAGCAUUAUCCGGAGUGACUGGGUGUAAAGAGUUGCGUAUGUGGCAUAAUAAGUAGCUGGUGCAAUCUGGUGGCUCAACCAUUCAGACUAUUAGCUAAACUGUUAAGCUCGAGACCGUUAGGGGUAACUGGAAUUUCUAGUGUAGGAGUGAAAUCCGUAGAUAUUAGAAGGAACACCAAUAGCGUAGGCAGGUUGCUGGGACGGUUCUGACACUAAGGCACGAAAGCGUAGGGAGCAAACGGGAUUAGAUACCCCUGUAGUC
RNAcentral lists this ribosomal RNA (442 nucleotides) under uncultured bacterium. Its description in RNAcentral is "partial 16S ribosomal RNA". It matches the Rfam family "Bacterial small subunit ribosomal RNA", at positions 338 to 795 of the family's 1533-position model. The record is from RNAcentral.